RNAcentral lists this long non-coding RNA (3318 nucleotides) under Capsicum annuum. RNAcentral's name for it is "long non-coding RNA (CANN_LNC015198)". The record is from RNAcentral. Lineage: Eukaryota; Viridiplantae; Streptophyta; Magnoliopsida; Solanales; Solanaceae.
AUAAACCACACCAAACAUAAAUAAAAUGAUCAAUCAAGCAAACGAAUCCAAAAACAAUGUCCAAUCCAAUUAUACAAUCCAAAAUAGAAAAAGAAUGCGAAAAUGUAAAUCCUAUUCUACCCUACACUAAUUUUACACUACACUCUCAUGCUACCCGAUGCCUCGGGCCUUCAUCACGGACGCCCUCCAAAUACAAAAUACUUCAGAGUAUUUCCCGGCGAAUAAAUACAAGUGAUCGCGGGGUAUUCCCCGAUUAAAUGAAUACAUUUUCAAAUGCAAGAACUAAAACCAAACCAUUCAACUCAAAUUCCACAUUCAAACAUUUAACAAGAAAACUUAUUCCUAAAAUUUUGCCUACCCGAACCAACAUUUGCCUAUCCAUUUCAACAUAUCAUAAUUUUAUCACAUUCCAACAAUAUUCAUGCUCAUUACGAAUUAAACAAAACAACAGUAAACCAAAACUAAUCUAAAUUCAAAUUUUUUAUCAAUUUCUCAAUUUCAUCCCCCAAAUCCAUUUUGAACCACAUUAUUAAACCAGUUAGACUAUCAAAUCACUUUUCAAAAUCCGAAACCAACAACACAUACCCCAACAAAGAUUCAAACAUUUAAGCAUACCAAUCAUUCACAUCCACAACAACAAUUAAUAUUUUUGCUCGAAAUAUUCAAAACCGCACCACAAAAUCACAAUAUUAAUCAACUUUGAUAUAAUAAAAAAGUAGAGUUGAGAGAUGGACCUUUGAAGAAUCGAUUUCGUUGAUAAUAAAAUCAAGAAAGUCCGGACUAUAGAAUUCCUAAUAGGACCUCAACAAUGACGAACUCCAACUCCGUAUUGAAAAAUUUGAGACCAAAAACUGAAGCUCCAUAAAUUCAAUCGAACCCGAAAAUCAACAUUGUUCACGUACUGCUCAUGGCACUGUUAACGGUACUGUUCACAACACUGUUCACGACACUGUUUCUCUCUUGAUUUUUUUUCUCUCGCGCAAUUCUCUCCUCUCCCUCGAUUUUUUUUUGUUCUUCUUGUGAGGAAGAUGAUUUCGUGAUUGUUGUUAUUGUGGAGAAGAUGAUGAUGAAAGAAUGAACCUCCCCCUUUCCCUUUUAGAAUUUUCUUUUUAUAUUUUUUAUUUGAUUUUUCUUUUUUUUUAUUUAUUAUCCUUUGUGGAAGUAUAUAAUUGAUGGCUUGUGGGAAUAAGUGUGUGGCAUGUGAAAAAGUUAGUGUGGCAUGUGGAAAGAUGAGGGUGGCGUGUGGAAAAAUGAGUAGGGCAUGUGCCUUUUGCAUGUAUCCAAUGAAAAAUGAAAAGUGAGGUGUUGAGGUGGCAUAGUGAGGUGACAAAGAUGCUAUGUAUUUAAUUAUUUUCAAUUCUUUUUUUGGGGAGAAAUUAUCAAUUAAACAAAAGUCUAGUAAGGUGAAUAAAAUAAAAAUAAAAAAUUAAAAUUAAAAUAAAUAAAAUAAAAUAAAAAAUGAUUAAAAUAUUUUUGGGAAAGGACAAAAUUACGUGUCUACAAAUAAAAUCUUACCUUAUAGGACUUACCAUUCACAUCUAACUUCAACAAAUUACGGUAAACUUCAAGAAAGGAAGACAAUUGACUCUAAGUAUUCAUUUUUCUAUUCAGAUCAUCACAUAGAGAAAAGAGGAGGACCGGAACGAACUUAAGCAAUCGAAUUCUCAAAAGCAAACACUUUAGAUAUGGUGACAAAAUCAACAUAUUCGAACUGCUUUUACAACCAAAUUGCGGGAAUAUACUAUUGCCAAGGUACGAAAUUGGGGAAAGAUCAACGAAACCCAAUCAGACAAGUAGACAUUAGACAAGCCCGUGCACAAGUUUUAUAGACGAAACACCCAUUUUUCGCUAGAACAUUUCACUACUUCAUCAAAUAGCAACCUAAAUCACGAUAUUUCAAAACAAAAUGCUUUUCAACAAACCAAACAAACAUCCUAAAAAGAAUUUGUUUACAAUUGAACGUCAGGAUAAAACAUAGAUUUCAUGCUAUUCUACAUAUUUAAACGUGAAUUGAUAACAAAGGAAGGGCAGACCACCGAACAGCUACGACUAACUAUUACACAUCUUCUACGCACGUAAAUCCUACGGCCUUUGAGGCCUUCUACAACAGGAAGAUCCCAGCAUACAAACACAACAAUUGAAAUUACUACGUGCUACCACUAUUACGAUGAAAUACAAUAAAAUAGUAAAAUAAAUCGAAGACUAACUGGCUUUUGGCAGCAAAACGAGACUCGAGCUUCCGUCGGAAUCAGCCACCACCAGAGAUCGUCGUUGUCGACAACUCGAAACUCCGAUUAGCUGAUGAAUUCACUAAAAAAUUUUACCGAAAAUAAAAAGAGAACUUUUCUUGAGAGCUUAUUCUGGCCUUCCAGACCUCCCUCUUUUUUUUUCUCUUGCUUUUUUUUUUUUUGCUUUUAAAAGAAAUUUUUUCUCCUUUUUUUUGGACCCCUUUUUUUGCUCUAAAGAGAGCUAUUUUUUUUGCUCUAAAGAGAGCUAUUUAUAGAAGAUGAAAAAAUAGGGUCCGAUAAAUAGGAUCCCAUUGAAGCUCGGCCGAUGUGGAAAAAAUUGAAAUCGGGGGGUAAUUUAGGGAUUGCCCAUUGAGAUAUUUUGAAAUUUGAAAAUCGAAUCCCCCUACAGCUUUUGUUUUCAUCCCCAAUUUGUACCAAUUUUAGGAUUUCUUGAGAGAAAUUUGGGAAAAUCCAAUUGUACUCAAGAACCAAUGAAAAGCAUCCAAAUAUAUACGAAAUCGUACCAUCAUGCCCAAUAUUCGCGGAAUUAUCCGUUGGGGAUGGCACUUAGGCUUGUUCUAGAAGAUUUUUGGACCUUUUCUCUUCCUACUAACGCGUGAGAUGCGUGACGAAGAGAAAAUAAUGGGUUGGUUUGAUGGUUGCAGGUUGAAGGGUCAGAGAUUUGCUUGGUCGGAUCUGGGAUCGAUACCGGUCAGAUAUGGUCGUUGUUGCUGAGUUGUUAUCGUGUUUUUGAGUUGUGUUGAUGUUGUUUUGAUGAAGACAACAGUCGAAGUGGGCCGGGUCGGAGAUCUUUGUUGGGUCAUUCGGUUAAGUUGUUGUUGUUUAAGGGGACUGAACUGGUUUUAAAUUGUUAAAAAAAAAGAAUAGGGGCUGAACUUGACUUUGGAUUGUUUAUUAAAUAUUCCAUAAAUAAAAUUUAGACAAUUAUAUUUAUUUUUAGCCUAAAUAAAAUUCAAUUGAUCAAUGGCAUUGCAAUUAUGGCUGAAUUGAUUCCAAUUAGGGUCUAAUUAAAUAAAUUAACUAAAUUAAAAUAAAAUUUGAAAUAAAUUAACAACUAAUUCAAUCCCGA